RNAcentral lists this long non-coding RNA (330 nucleotides) under Ananas comosus (pineapple). RNAcentral's name for it is "long non-coding RNA (ACOM_LNC015211)". Lineage: Eukaryota; Viridiplantae; Streptophyta; Magnoliopsida; Poales; Bromeliaceae. The record is from RNAcentral.
UUUAUUAGGCAAGUCAAAAAAAUUAUAAUUUAAUUUUUUUUGUUUAUCAAUAUAGGGCAAAUUUUUAAUUUACAUAUCCAAUCCCUCCGCUUUCACCACAGACAUCCAUUUUUUUUUCAAAAAUUAUUUUAUCAAAAUUUGUCGCACCGUGAAACUUUUGCCAAAUUAGGGAAACAAAAUCGAACUCCAUAAAUAAAAUUUAAGACACAUCAAACAUAAAUUUUAUUUUUGCGUUAGAAAAUUGAAAAUGCCGAUAAAAUUAAAAGUUAAAUUAAAUUAAUUGAUACUUAAAUUUAUUUAAUUUAUUUGUCAUAUAAUUUAUCGCUUAAU